GCCGGGUUGGCCGAACGGUUUCAGGCGGCGGGCUGCAAACCCGCAGUAUGUGGGUUCAAUUCCCACACCCGGCU
RNAcentral lists this transfer RNA (74 nucleotides) under Candidatus Bathyarchaeota archaeon RBG_13_38_9. Its description in RNAcentral is "tRNA-Cys". It matches the Rfam family "tRNA". Rfam says of the family: Transfer RNA (tRNA) molecules are approximately 80 nucleotides in length. Lineage: Archaea; Thermoproteati; Candidatus Bathyarchaeota. The record is from RNAcentral.